UACGAAGGGGGCUAGCGUUGUUCGGAAUCACUGGGCGUAAAGCGCACGCAGGCGGAUCGAUAAGUCGGGGGUGAAAGCCCGGGGCUCAACCUCGGAAUUGCCUUCGAUACUGUCGGUCUCGAGUCCGGGAGAGGUGAGUGGAAUUCCUAGUGUAGAGGUGAAAUUCGUAGAUAUUAGGAAGAACACCAGUGGCGAAGGCGGCUCACUGGCCCGGUACUGACGCUCAGGUGCGAAAGCUAGGUGAGCAAACGGG
Molecule: ribosomal RNA, 253 nt
Filed under: uncultured bacterium
Lineage: Bacteria
Description: partial 16S ribosomal RNA
Rfam family: Bacterial small subunit ribosomal RNA
Source: RNAcentral